CUUUUGGCGGGACAGUCCCGCUUUUGAGCAAUUUGUCCCGCGUCCCGCGGCGUUUUAAAAAAGUCCCGAUUUUUCAUUCUGCCUCCUGAAUCCCCGCUGCUGGCUAGAGGGAAAAAACCUGUUUAAACUCUUGCCGUGGGGCUUCAAAGGGCCGCCCUACUUGAUUAGCUCGGCUUCCCCCUCUCAGCUGAUUUGCGCAGGGCUCUGCUCUUCCUAAAUUGCUCCAGCAGGUUUUUUUUUUCUUUGUGCAAACCAAGCUCAAAACGAAAGUGAAACUGGCUGUUGGCUUUGCUGUUUGCUUGCAACGUUGCAAAAUUAGGCAGCAGAUUUAUUUUCCUUUUCCUCACCAAAAAAGAUUAUCAGCCUGGCCAGUAUCGGAAGCAAUAGACUGCAGAAAGCCACAGAGAGCAGAAAUAUUUUUGACCUGCAGUGAAUGUUACUGAAUUGGAAAGAAAAGGGAAAAAACAUUGCCUAAGCUUCUGCAAAAAAUAUAAACUGAAAACUCAUCAGUGGACAUAAAGAUGUUCAACUGUUUUCUAAAUCAACUCAAGCAAUAAUUAUCUUAUUCCUUUGGAAUUUUAUGAGAUGUAGUUCCCUUUCUUUAGACUCCUUCAUCAAUCAAAAUAUCAAGAUUUUUCGCUGUCCUUCAGCAACAUUCCAAGAGUUUGAACAGAACAAUAUUUUUGUCAUUCAUCUUAGUCUAUCGUGGCUGUUCCAAAUCUUGCGUCAUCCAAUGUACAAAAGGUCAACAUGACUUCUACAACCACUUAUAUUCCCCAAAUCCUGGAUCAUUAGUAUAGGUAAA
Non-coding RNA from Pantherophis guttatus, 805 nucleotides. The record is from RefSeq and is a predicted model, not a curated record. Lineage: Eukaryota; Metazoa; Chordata; Lepidosauria; Squamata; Colubridae.